CUCCUACGGGAGGCAGCAGUGGGGAAUAUUGCACAAUGGGCGAAACCCUGAUGCAGACACGCCGCGUGAGAGAAGAAGUAUUUCGGUAUGUAAAGCUCUAUCAGCAGGGAAGAUAAUGACAGUACCUGACUAAGAAGCCCCGGCUAACUACGUGCCAGCAGCCGCGGUAAUACGUAGGGGGCAAGCGUUAUCCGGAUUUACU
This 202-nucleotide ribosomal RNA is filed under the name uncultured bacterium. RNAcentral describes it as "partial 16S ribosomal RNA". It matches the Rfam family "Bacterial small subunit ribosomal RNA", at positions 336 to 555 of the family's 1533-position model. The record is from RNAcentral.